Molecule: long non-coding RNA, 483 nt
Organism: Numida meleagris (helmeted guineafowl)
Lineage: Eukaryota; Metazoa; Chordata; Aves; Galliformes; Numididae
Exons: 3
Source: RefSeq, a predicted model, not a curated record
CUAGAGGUGAACCUGCCUCAGAUGUGCUCCUGGGCUGGUGCCUGGCUUUUCUUGGCUGACCUUGGAGUUGCUGUUCUGUAGCAUCCAGCUUACAGCAGCUUCAGCCAUGCUUUUCCCUUAGAGAAGACUCUGGGCUCGGAUCUGCGUUUUGUAAGAGUACUGACAGGCUUGUUAUGCUGUAUUCCAUGGGAUGGCUCUUGGUGAUGAUGAACCCAUGAUGAUGAUGUUGGUGAACCCUGCAUGUGUGUGAUGAACAUCUUCCUUUGUGCCACACGAUGACAGCAUCUUCGAUGGGGAGAGCAAGCCACAGGCAGAAAAUGCACUCCACCUCCUCUCUAUCCAAAGCUUAGCUGCAGUGAAUAAGGGGAGACGCCCCCCAUUGCCGAGCAGGGCCCGGAGCUGAGAGCGGCCCUCGGGGACCCGCACAGCCGAGAGGAGCAGCAGCGGCCCUGCCCUCCCUUCAUGCCGCCAUUGGCGCCGCUG